UAGCACUAUACCCUUUGUGACAUACCUAUAACUGUUGCUUCGGCGGGUAGGGUCUCCGCGACCCUCCCGGCCUCCCGCCUCCGGGCGGGUCGGCGCCCGCCGGAGGAUAACCAAACUCUGAUUUAACGACGUUUCUUCUGAGUGGUACAAGCAAAUAAUCAAAACUUUUAACAACGGAUCUCUUGGUUCUGGCAUCGAUGAAGAACGCAGCGAAAUGCGAUAAGUAAUGUGAAUUGCAGAAUUCAGUGAAUCAUCGAAUCUUUGAACGCACAUUGCGCCCGCCAGCAUUCUGGCGGGCAUGCCUGUUCGAGCGUCAUUUCAACCCUCAAGCUCUGCUUGGUGUUGGGGCCCUACAGCUGAUGUAGGCCCUCAAAGGUAGUGGCGGACCCUCCCGGAGCCUCCUUUGCGUAGUAACUUUACGUCUCGCACUGGGAUCCGGAGGGACUCUUGCCGUAAAACCCCCCAAUUUUCCAAAGGUUGACCUCGGAUCAGGUAGGAAUACCCGCUGAACUUAAGCAUAUCAAUAA
This 527-nucleotide ribosomal RNA is filed under the name Colletotrichum gloeosporioides. Its description in RNAcentral is "eukaryotic LSU rRNA". The stretch from base 163 to 316 matches the Rfam family "5.8S ribosomal RNA". The record is from RNAcentral. Lineage: Eukaryota; Fungi; Ascomycota; Sordariomycetes; Glomerellales; Glomerellaceae.